Molecule: long non-coding RNA, 731 nt
Organism: Carassius carassius (crucian carp)
Lineage: Eukaryota; Metazoa; Chordata; Actinopteri; Cypriniformes; Cyprinidae
Exons: 2
Source: RefSeq, a predicted model, not a curated record
AGUGACAGAAUCUCCCUCCAUCACUGACACUGACUUCACUCCAUCAACACCAAACACAGCUGAAGAACAAAGAGGAACAGAGAAAUAAAGCGAUAGAAAUACUACGUAAUCAUAUGUUCAGAAAAACUGAUUCAUAAAGGCUUGUUAAAGCGCAUCAUCAUCUCCUCCUAGUAUUCUGACGUCAGAAUGUCUGAUUCUUCAGUAAAGGACUGAUGUUGACCUCACAACACUGUAGCCACGCCCACCAGAGUACAGACACCAAUCAGAACACCGUUCCUGUGGUCUAAAGGGAAAACACCCUAAUAAUUUAACACAACUGUUUCUUUUUCAAAAGGUUUCAAUAGUUAUACCUGGAUUUAACAGACUAAAUAAUUCUAACUUGAACAAAACAGGAUCACAGGGUCUUGUUUUUGACUUUAGAGCUCUGGUUCUAGUCUGGUCUUUAGAAGCAGAUGAGGAUCAUGGAGCGCCUCCUCAGGACUAAACAUGAAACUUCUCACAUCUGCGAUGUUAUUGCAUGUUAUUAGUGUGUGUGGGUGUUUGUGAGAUUUCAUUCACAGAGGGGCUGUCUUAUUGUGGGCGGUUUGAUGCUCAGUGCUCGGACUGCCCACUUUCUGGGAAACCUCAACUCAGUUAGUAGAUUUUUUAUUUUUAUUUAACCUAAUUGAUUCCUUUCUUUACUGUCGUGGCUUCAGUUUUAUUUGUAAUGUAAUAAAGCUUCAUUUGAUAUG